AGCUCCGGUGGCCUAGUGAUCAGAGCGUCUGCCUCGGAUGUGGGAAGUCGUGGGUUCUAUCCCCAGCCGAGUCA
Potamilus streckersoni is the source of this 74-nucleotide non-coding RNA. NCBI's taxonomy places the organism in Eukaryota, Metazoa, Mollusca, Bivalvia, Unionida, Unionidae. The record is from the annotation of a GenBank genome assembly.